GCGUGCCUAAUACAUGCAAGUCGAGCGGACCGACGGGAGCUUGCUCCCUUAGGUCAGCGGCGGACGGGUGAGUAACACGUGGGUAACCUGCCUGUAAGACUGGGAUAACUCCGGGAAACCGGGGCUAAUACCGGAUGCUUGAUUGAACCGCAUGGUUCAAUCAUAAAAGGUGGCUUUUAGCUACCACUUGCAGAUGGACCCGCGGCGCAUUAGCUAGUUGGUGAGGUAACGGCUCACCAAGGCGACGAUGCGUAGCCGACCUGAGAGGGUGAUCGGCCACACUGGGACUGAGACACGGCCCAGACUCCUACGGGAGGCAGCAGUAGGGAAUCUUCCGCAAUGGACGAAAGUCUGACGGAGCAACGCCGCGUGAGUGAUGAAGGUUUUCGGAUCGUAAAACUCUGUUGUUAGGGAAGAACAAGUACCGUUCGAAUAGGGCGGCACCUUGACGGUACCUAACCAGAAAGCCACGGCUAACUACGUGCCAGCAGCCGCGGUAAUACGUAGGUGGCAAGCGUUGUCCGGAAUUAUUGGGCGUAAAGCGCGCGCAGGCGGUUUCUUAAGUCUGAUGUGAAAGCCCCCGGCUCAACCGGGGAGGGUCAUUGGAAACUGGGGAACUUGAGUGCAGAAGAGGAGAGUGGAAUUCCACGUGUAGCGGUGAAAUGCGUAGAGAUGUGGAGGAACACCAGUGGCGAAGGCGACUCUCUGGUCUGUAACUGACGCUGAGGCGCGAAAGCGUGGGGAGCGAA
Molecule: ribosomal RNA, 749 nt
Filed under: uncultured Bacilli bacterium
Lineage: Bacteria; Bacillati; Bacillota; Bacilli
Description: bacterial SSU rRNA
Rfam family: Bacterial small subunit ribosomal RNA
Source: RNAcentral